UGGGGAAUUGUUCGCAAUGGGCGCAAGCCUGACGACGCAAUGCCGCGUGGAGGACGAAGAUUUUCGGAUCGUAAACUCCUGUCGAGCGGGAAGAACGGCCCGGGACCUAAUACGUUUCGGGAGUGACGGUACCGCUAAAGGAAGCCCCGGCUAACUCCGUGCCAGCAGCCGCGGUAAUACGGGGGGGGCAAGCGUUGUUCGGAAUUACUGGGCGUAAAGGGCGCGUAGGCGGCCCUCUAAGUCAGACGUGAAAUCCCUCGGCUCAACCGGGGAACUGCGUCUGAUACUGGAGGGCUUGAAUUCGGGAGAGGGAUGCGGAAUUCCAGGUGUAGCGGUGAAAUGCGUAGAUAUCUGGAGGAACACCGGUGGCGAAGGCGGCAUCCUGGACCGAUAUUGACGCUGAGGCGCGAAAGCCAGGGGAGCAAACGGG
RNAcentral lists this ribosomal RNA (430 nucleotides) under uncultured bacterium. RNAcentral's name for it is "bacterial SSU rRNA". It matches the Rfam family "Bacterial small subunit ribosomal RNA", at positions 355 to 776 of the family's 1533-position model. The record is from RNAcentral.